GAGGGGGGNUUAACCAACAAGAACUGCUAACUCCUGUAUCUGAGCCUAAAGCCUCAGCCCCCUUG
RNAcentral lists this transfer RNA (65 nucleotides) under Grallaria varia (variegated antpitta). Its description in RNAcentral is "tRNA-Ser". The record is from RNAcentral. Lineage: Eukaryota; Metazoa; Chordata; Aves; Passeriformes; Formicariidae.